This is a non-coding RNA of Chloroflexi bacterium RBG_16_47_49, 72 nucleotides long. Lineage: Bacteria; Bacillati; Chloroflexota. The record is from Rfam.
GCCCCUGUAGCUCAGAGGAUAGAGCGUUGGCCUCCGGAGCCAAAUGCGACAGUUCGAGUCUGUCCAGGGGUA